This 253-nucleotide ribosomal RNA is filed under the name uncultured bacterium. RNAcentral's name for it is "partial 16S ribosomal RNA". It matches the Rfam family "Bacterial small subunit ribosomal RNA", at positions 524 to 776 of the family's 1533-position model. The record is from RNAcentral.
GACAGAGGGUGCAAACGUUGUUCGGAUUCAUUGGGCGUAAAGGGUGUGUAGGUGGCGCCGUAAGUCGGGUGUGAAAUUUCGGAGCUUAACUCCGAAACUGCAUUCGAUACUGCGGUGCUUGAGGACUGGAGAGGAGACUGGAAUUCAUGGUGUAGCAGUGAAAUGCGUAGAGAUCAUGAGGAAGACCAGUGGCGAAGGCGGGUCUCUGGACAGUUCCUGACACUGAGACACGAAGGCCAGGGGAGCAAACGGG